RNAcentral lists this ribosomal RNA (1374 nucleotides) under Protermes prorepens. Its description in RNAcentral is "16S ribosomal RNA". The stretch from base 885 to 1249 matches the Rfam family "Bacterial large subunit ribosomal RNA", at positions 2073 to 2647 of the family's 2925-position model. The record is from RNAcentral. Lineage: Eukaryota; Metazoa; Arthropoda; Insecta; Blattodea; Termitidae.
GCAAUUCGACUUGGACCGAUUAUUCUUCUCUUGUUUUCUUUUGUUGGGCUUUCUUUUAUACUAGUUGAAAUAUCAUUUUGUUAUUGUAGUUUUUUGAUUUAAUUUUUGUUGCUAUAGUUUAUUGGUACUGUAAGGGGUUGAUGAUUUAUUUUGUAGAAGCCGAUUUUAUUUUUUGUACCUUGUGUAUCAGGGUUUAUAGAAUUUUAUUAUUUAUUUUUAUUUCCCGAUUAUGGAGGAGUUAAUGGUCUAUUCUGGUUAGUGUUUCAUCAUUAUCAGUAAUGGGUUGUUAGUAGUGAGAUGUUAUUCGUCUUUGUUGGUUUCUGGUUUUUCAAGAAAUGAAUUCAAUUCAUGUAUUUUAUUUAAAGUUUAUUAUUGGUUUAUGGCUUUUUAUUUGGUGUUAAGAUUGGGGGGGACUAGCUCUCUGUUUUAUAGUUAUAACUCUUUGUUAUGUAUUUUAUUUUUGUGGAUUUUAUGGUGAUUCUCGAUUUGAUUAUGUUAAAAUUUUAUUUGUUCUAUUUUUUAUUUGUUUGGGUGGUUUAUUUUGUUUAUUGAAAUGUUUUUUUUAAUUUGUUUUGUUUAGUAAUUAUUAUGGAAUUAGUAAAUAUUAUUUUUGUGUUGUUUAUUGGGUGUUAAUUCCUUUUAAGGAAUUAGGCAAGUUUUUCUAUGUCCGCCUGUUUAACAAAAACAUCUCUUCUUGGUAGUUUUUGAGGUAAGGCCUGCCCGCUGACCAUGAGUUGAAGGGCCGCGGUAUUUUGACCGUGCAAAGGUAGCAUAGUCAUUAGUUCUUUAAUUGUGAUCUGGUAUGAAUGGUUUGACGAGACAUAGUCUGUCUUGAUAGGUUUGAUUGUUGAAUUUGUGGUUUGAGUUAAAAUUCUUAGAUGUUUUUAUGGGACGAGAAGACCCUAUAGAGUUUUACAUUUGAUUUAUAUUUUUGGUGUUUGUUUUUAUUUUUUGUAUGUUUUAUGUUUUGUUGGGGUGAUGGGAGGAAUUUUUUUAACUCCUCUUAGUGGUGCUAUACUGAUUUGUAUAUGUUUUGAUCCAUUUAUUUUGAUUGUAAGACUAAAUUACCUUAGGGAUAACAGCGUUAUCCUCCUUGAGAGUUCUUAUUGGCGGGGGGGGUUGCGACCUCGAUGUUGGAUUAAGAUUAAUUUUUGGUGUAGGAGCUGAAUUGAUUAGGUCUGUUCGACCUUUAAAAUCUUACAUGAUCUGAGUUCAGACCGGCGUGAGCCAGGUUGGUUUCUAUCUAUAAUGAAUUUUAUGCCUUAGUACGAGAGGACCGGGUAUUUGGAAUAAUUUUAUUAUUAGUGGUUUUUAAUAAUUGUUGCUAUUUUGGCAGAUAAGUGCGUUGGAUUUAGAAUCUUUUAAUGUAAGUUU